Molecule: ribosomal RNA, 480 nt
Filed under: uncultured bacterium
Lineage: Bacteria
Description: SSU rRNA
Rfam family: Bacterial small subunit ribosomal RNA
Source: RNAcentral
AGGACGAACGCUGGCGGCGCGCUUAACACAUGCAAGUCGAGCGAGAACCAGUCCUUCGGGACUGGGAAAGCGGCGAACGGGUGAGUAACACGUGGGUAAUCAACCCUCAGUACCGGGAUAGCCCGAGGAAACUCGGAUUAAUACCGGAUGGCCCAACAGCUCUUCGGGGCGGUUGGAAAAGGUAGCUUCGGCCUCCGACUGAGGACGAGCCCGCGGCGGAUUAGCUUGUUGGCGGGGUAAUGGCCCACCAAGGCGACGAUCCGUAGCUGGUCUGAGAGGACGAUCAGCCACACUGGGACUGAGACACGGCCCAGACUCCUACGGGAGGCAGCAGUGGGGAAUAUUGGACAAUGGGCGAAAGCCUGAUCCAGCCAUGCCGCGUGAGUGAUGAAGGCCUUAGGGUUGUAAAGCUCUUUUGCCCGGGAAGAUAAUGACGGUACCGGGAGAAUAAGCCCCGGCUAACUUCGCGCCAGCAGCCGC